CCUACGGGUGGCAGCAGUGAGGAAUAUUGGUCAAUGGACGCAAGUCUGAACCAGCCAUGCCGCGUGCAGGAAGACGGCUCUAUGAGUUGUAAACUGCUUUUGUACGAGGGUAAACGCAGAUACGCGUAUCUGUCUGAAAGUAUCGUACGAAUAAGGAUCGGCUAACUCCGUGCCAGCAGCCGCGGUAAUACGGAGGAUUCAAGCGUUAUCCGGAUUUAUUGGGUUUAAAGGGUGCGUAGGCGGUCGGAUAAGUUAGAGGUGAAAUCCCGAGGCUCAACUUCGGAAUUGCCUCUGAUACUGUUCGGCGAGAGAGUAGUUGCGGUAGGCGGAAUGUAUGGUGUAGCGGUGAAAUGCUGAGAGAUCAGACAGAACACCGAUUGCGAAGGCAGCUUACCAAGCUACUUCUGACGUUGAGGCACGAAAGCGUGGGGAGCAAACAGGAUUAGAUACCCCGGUAGUC
RNAcentral lists this ribosomal RNA (460 nucleotides) under uncultured bacterium. Its description in RNAcentral is "partial 16S ribosomal RNA". It matches the Rfam family "Bacterial small subunit ribosomal RNA", at positions 338 to 795 of the family's 1533-position model. The record is from RNAcentral.